This 1855-nucleotide long non-coding RNA is filed under the name Gallus gallus (chicken). The record is from RNAcentral. Lineage: Eukaryota; Metazoa; Chordata; Aves; Galliformes; Phasianidae.
GGGCUUUAAUACAAUAACAGAAUUUUUAAGUGUUAAUUUGGGGGCUGGGGUGAGGGGUUACGUUCUGCUGUGCCGUGGUUAAGUGGCCGCAUCCCUCUGCUGUGACCGCACCGUCCGGAAGAUGUUCUUGCUGCACACCGUGUCUGUGCUGCAGUUCUGGUUAUCCUUGUCUGUUGCCUCCUCCUCCACCUCUUUCCUCCACUUGAGCUCACAGAAAACCCGCUCGAAGCACUCAUGCAUGUAGUUGAAGUAGGGGGUGAAGAUUUUAACCCAUCGGGGUUUCUUCUCUCCUCGAGCAUAUUCAAAACAAAAGGCCAUUCCCUCUUCGUCCGUGUCCCACCGCUGCAUUUCGUCCCAUUCAAAUGCUAUUACCUGGUUCUCCAGCUGUCCCUCUUCGGUGCAGGCGUGGAGUUUAAAGUGCUUAAUGCUGAUGGCCGUGAUCACAUGUCCCUUCCGCCGAGAGUCACAGGAGCAGUGAGGGAAGAUGAUCUCGUUGUAACCCUCGCAUGUCCGCAACAUGUUUAAAUACAUGACCAUCUUCCUCUGCUCACACAGCUUCUGUAGCUGGUAGGACUUCUCCUCUGCUUUGAUGUAGCCUUUCUUGACAUCAUCAACAGCCUGAUGGAAGAAGUAGGUGACUGCCAAGUCGUUGUCAUUGAGAAGAGCCUCCUCCUCUGUCGUGAACAGCCAUUUCCGGAUGGUCAGGCACGUCCCCGGCACUGCCGAGGUGUAGUUCUGCACGUAGAGUUUGUGGGGAAAUUCGUUGGGCGCCAGCUUGCGCACGAAGGAGUGAUUGAUCACUUCAAACAAGGCGAAGUAGUUGGCGGUAACACUGUCCAUUCCAACUUUAGCAGCCACGGCCUGGUACACCUGGUCUGUAGUGCUGUUCUUUUUGACUCUGACUGUCACUGUUGUUAUGUCUGGUAACGCUACCCGGAGCUCCACGUCUGAGACGCCGUUGUAAUUCUCAUCCGACUCCGACAGGAACUCCUGCAUGAUGUCACUCUCUCCGAUGACACGGAUGGAGCACACUUUCUCCAGGUACUCCUCCAGCCCUCGCCGCCGGGCGUCCAGCUGCUGCUCCGACAGGGAGAAGGGCCACUUUCCAGGGAGACGUGGGAAGGUGAAAUUGGCAAAUUCCCGCUUCAGGUUCUGGUGCAGGAUGGCGAACUCACGGUACCGCUUGGAGCAGAGCUGCCGACCGGCCAUGUAAACGUUGUAUACCACAAACUUCUCUCCGUUCUGCUCCACGUGUUUGUAGGUGGGGAUGGAGAUGGGCACGGCCUGCUUCUCUGUGUAGUCGUAGAAGGACUGCCCCAAGGAGUCGUCGCUGGGGUCGAGGUUGUCAGCCUCGUGGGGAGGCACCGACAGCACUGUCAGGAUCAGCUCCUUCUCCCCAGCACGGAUCAGGUCAACCACCUGCUUGUGUGUUGCUCCUUCAACGUUCACCCCGUUCACCUCCAGGAUGCGGUCUCCUUUGCGGACCCCGGCGCGGUCGGCCGCCCCCCCGCCCAGCACGGCGCUGACGUGCUGCAGCGGCGCGUACAGCUCGCCGUUGAUGCUCCGCAGCUGCCCGCCCUCGCUCACUUGGCCCCGCACGUUGAAGCCGUAUCCGGAUUCGGAUUUCACGAUGCGGACCACCCGCGGUCCCCCCGGGGCUCCUUCAUCGCCGCCGUUCCGCUGCGGGGCCGCGGCCGAGCGCGGCGGCCCUUCACCCUCCUCGUCCGCCAUCUUGGCGAGCAGCGCCGGGCCGCGCCGUCACGCGCGCAGCGCCCCCUCAGCCACCGUACGCGCACGGGCUGAUGGGAAACGUAGUCCGAGCCGCCGUGGAGAGCGAGGGGGCGCGGGGGGUGAU